GGGGCUGUAGCUUAAUGGUAGAGCGCCUGGAGUUGACACCCAGGAGGUUCCGGUUCAAUUCCGGUCAGCUCCACCA
Molecule: transfer RNA, 76 nt
Filed under: bacterium
Lineage: Bacteria
Description: tRNA-Val
Rfam family: tRNA
About the family: Transfer RNA (tRNA) molecules are approximately 80 nucleotides in length.
Source: RNAcentral